This 324-nucleotide ribosomal RNA is filed under the name uncultured eukaryote. RNAcentral's name for it is "partial 18S ribosomal RNA". It matches the Rfam family "Eukaryotic small subunit ribosomal RNA", at positions 1470 to 1796 of the family's 1831-position model. The record is from RNAcentral.
CCCUUAGAUGUUCUGGGCUGCACGCGCGCUACACUGAUGCGCUCAACGAGUUUGCAUCCUUGCCUGGCAAGGUCGGGUAAUCUGUUCAAAAUGCAUCGUGAUGGGGAUAGAUUAUUGCAAUUAUUAAUCUUCAACGAGGAAUUCCUAGUAAGCGCGAGUCAUCAGCUCGUGCUGAUUACGUCCCUGCCCUUUGUACACACCGCCCGUCGCUCCUACCGAUUGAAUGUUCCGGUGAGCUCUUCGGACUGCGCGGUCUGCAGUUUCUGCGUUCCGUGCGGAAAGUUGCGCAAACCUUAACAUUUAGAGGAAGGAGAAGUCGUAACA